CGUCAGAUAGGAUAAGUCCAAUGCAAGUGUAAGUAUAAGAAGUACUCCGAGACUUGCGAAUGAGCUCAUUAUAUCAGUUAUAGUUAUUUUGAUAGUCCCUUACUACUUGGAUAACCGUAGUAUUCUAGAGCUAAUACAUGCGUCAAGAAUCCGACUUCGGGGGAAGGAUUUGUUAUUUUUAUUUAGGUUAACAAAAACCAACCCCCUUCUUCUUCGGGGGAGGGUUCCUUUGGGGGUGGAAGUUCAUGAAUAAGGCAAUGGCGGGAAUCCGCCAAGGGCCUUUUACCGCCCGGGCCGACGGGAUUCAUGUUAAGGUUCCUUGCCCCUUAUCAGCCUUUCGGGAUGGUAAAGGGUAAUUGGGCCUUAACCAAUGGGCAAUUUAAACGGGUUAACCGGGAGGAAUCAAGGGGGUUUGGACUCUCGGAAGAAGGGGAGCCUUGAAGAGGACCGGGCUUAACCACACAUCUUCAAAGGAAAAGGCAGCCAAGGGCGCCGUUAAA
This 500-nucleotide ribosomal RNA is filed under the name uncultured diatom. Its description in RNAcentral is "partial 18S ribosomal RNA". The record is from RNAcentral. Lineage: Eukaryota; Bacillariophyta.